Molecule: long non-coding RNA, 1952 nt
Organism: Cryptomeria japonica (Japanese cedar)
Lineage: Eukaryota; Viridiplantae; Streptophyta; Pinopsida; Cupressales; Cupressaceae
Exons: 2
Source: RefSeq, a predicted model, not a curated record
CAAUCAUUAUUGUUCAUGUAUGAUAAAAACAGAAAUAAAGAAAACCCUAGAAAAACUAUAUAUUUUCCCUCAUCUUAUCUGACAUCGCAGAGAAAAGGAAAGGUAAAACUGAAAAUGAAAAUGAUGUAUCACCUGAGGAAAUAGGGCUCAGGAUGAAUCUCCUUUAUCCACCACUAUGAGGAGAAACCGCCCAGCACAGGACAGAAGAACUGGUGAAGCGCGGCAAAAGGCAAUGUUUUCGCAAAGCGAUUCUUUCCGCUGAUUAGAGUGAACUACUAGACAUGGGAAGCUAUUUUAGAUUACAUUCAACAAUUCCCUCCAACUAGGGUUUGAUCCUUUCCUUUUCAUUGCCACAUUCUCCAUGCUUCCUGAAUUUUUUCUAUUAAACAAGAUUUUGCAAAGCUCAUGAAUUUAAUUAGUGUAAACGUUUGUCAAAUCUCUGUGUAUUAUAUCUUUGAGGUUUUGAUUUCUGGUAAAACAUGAAUAAAUCAAUGUAGUUUUCCCCAAAAUAUCUCCUGGUUCAAGAAAUCCACCUCCCCAUCAUCCAUGCCAGCCAUUUGUCAAACCCUGAAAUUAAAAAUUAAUUUUUUCUCAAGAAAAUGAAGAUCUGGCAAGCAGGGAUUUAUGAAAUAAUCGUUCAAUAGAGAAAAACUUUCUGCCCUCAAAACCCCAGCCUAGAUUUUUUUACUUUACUGGUAAGGGCAAACUACCCGUCAUGGGAACGUUACCUCCAACUCCGAGGCUCCGUAUUGCGGGAAACAUAGGCACUUCUGGAGAUUUCAAGGUUAACGCAGCUGAAAUAAUCAUUUGUCCGGCCGAACAGAUUUCAUCCUGUUCUCAUCCAAACGAUUAGCAGUCAUCAAACCAAAACUGUAAAAAAUUGAAAAAAGAAAAUAAGUGACAUGGCUCAAAGUUUCCAUUUUAUGACGGUGUCUGCAAUUUCUCCAAACAAAAACCCUAAUCUAUAGUCUCCCUCUUUGUGUAUUUUGUGAGCUUUGACGACUCUGCAGCCAAUUUCUCGAAAAUAUCGUUGAAGGGCAUGUUUGCCAACACCAAUGAAACAUAUACUAGUUCUUAAAAAGUAGUCAAUCCAACAUUAAACAUUCUAAAAUUAGCAGUACGAUGCUUGGUAAGAAGAUUUUUUCGAAAUAUUAAUACACCAGUAUUGUUUAUAAAUCUCUCAUUGGACAGUGAGGCGAUAUGCAAGCUUUUGAGAGUAAGAUCACGCAUUCGAUUUCAAAAUGCAUGUUUAUGGAAACAGAGAAAAGUAUACUGUAAUGAUAUACAAUACUGUGCAUGCAAGAGAAGAAUUUUCUUUUUAAGAAUGUGUCAAUCACUGUUUUUGUUCAGAUAUUUACAAGAGGAGACAUGAUAAAAAAGAAGAAAUCCUCCUAAAUUUGUUGCAUGUAAUGUUGAGGUAACCCCAAACAUUUGGCAUGUUAUUCAUUGGAAUUUGCAGGUCUGGAUGAGAACUCUGAUCUCCAUUUGAGGGAAAACAUUGUUAGGAAAAACCUGAUGAUUCUUAAAACAGAGAGUAAUAUAUGAUAACCAAAUAAAAUAGUGUACAUCUACGAGUGGUAAUUGUUUUCAAAUGGUUCUUUGAUUUUCUAACAUGGGCCAUAUUAUCAGAAUAAUUUCAGAAGCAGUUAGCUUAUUUGAUUUUUAUUUCUUUUUAACUAAAAUAUUUAGAUAUUGUUGAGAUUAUGGUAAUGGAUACAGGCAGCUGCCAGUUGAUAGAUGUUGAAAUAGGUGAAAUGAGUUCGUGCAGUUUGCAAGGAAAUCGUUGACGACAAGACACAUUUUGUAUAGUUUUUACUAAUUGGUAAUAAAUCAAGGAAACCACAAUACCUUUUUCUUUCAGUUUUGCUUUUCAUGAGCCUUUUUUGGGUUUCUUAAAAAAAUUGUCAUUCCAAAUAAUGCGAUUUUGGUAUAUUUGAAUCUUUGUUCUGUAA